This 430-nucleotide ribosomal RNA is filed under the name uncultured bacterium. RNAcentral describes it as "partial 16S ribosomal RNA". It matches the Rfam family "Bacterial small subunit ribosomal RNA", at positions 354 to 796 of the family's 1533-position model. The record is from RNAcentral.
GUGGGGAAUAUUGCACAAUGGGCGGAAGCCUGAUGCAGCAACGCCGCGUGCGGGAUGACGGCCUUCGGGUUGUAAACCGCUUUCAGCAGGGACGAAGCGCAAGUGACGGUACCUGCAGAAGAAGCACCGGCUAACUACGUGCCAGCAGCCGCGGUGAUACGUAGGGUGCGAGCGUUGUCCGGAUUUAUUGGGCGUAAAGAGCUUGUAGGCGGUUGGUUGCGUCGAAAGUGCAAACUCAGGGCUUAACUCUGAGCCUGCUUUCGAUACGGGCUGACUUGAGGAAGGUAGGGGAGAAUGGAAUUCCCGGUGGAGCGGUGGAAUGCGCAGAUAUCGGGAGGAACACCAGUGGCGAAGGCGGUUCUCUGGACCUUUCCUGACGCUGAGAAGCGAAAGCGUGGGGAGCAAACAGGCUUAGAAACCCUAGUAGUCC